CCUACGGGAGGCUGCAGUGAGGAAUAUUGGUCAAUGGACGAGAGUCUGAACCAGCCAAGUAGCGUGAAGGAUGACUGCCCUAUGGGUUGUAAACUUCUUUUAUAUGGGAAUAAAAUGUUCCACGUGUGGGAUUUUGUAUGUACCAUAUGAAUAAGGAUCGGCUAACUCCGUGCCAGCAGCCGCGGUAAUACGGAGGAUCCGAGCGUUAUCCGGAUUUAUUGGGUUUAAAGGGAGCGUAGGUGGAUGGUUAAGUCAGUUGUGAAAGUUUGCGGCUCAACCGUAAAAUUGCAGUUGAAACUGGCAGUCUUGAGUACAGUAGAGGUGGGCGGAAUUCGUGGUGUAGCGGUGAAAUGCUUAGAUAUCACGAAGAACUCCGAUUGCGAAGGCAGUUCACUGGACUGCAACUGACACUGAGGCUCGAAAGUGUGGGUAUCAAACAGGAUUAGAUACCCGUGUAGUC
RNAcentral lists this ribosomal RNA (460 nucleotides) under uncultured bacterium. RNAcentral's name for it is "partial 16S ribosomal RNA". It matches the Rfam family "Bacterial small subunit ribosomal RNA", at positions 338 to 795 of the family's 1533-position model. The record is from RNAcentral.